This 113-nucleotide ribosomal RNA is filed under the name Cercospora cf. malloti CPC 22024. Its description in RNAcentral is "partial 28S ribosomal RNA". Lineage: Eukaryota; Fungi; Ascomycota; Dothideomycetes; Mycosphaerellales; Mycosphaerellaceae. The record is from RNAcentral.
GUUGUGAUUUCAUUAAUCGCUUCGGAGCGCGGGCGGUCGCGGCCGUUAAAUCUUUCAUAAGGUUGACCUCGGAUCAGGUAGGGAUACCCGCUGAACUUAAGCAUAUCAAUAAG